GAAUGUGAGGGCCGUCUAGCAGCAAUAUCUGUCACCCUAUUGAUCACAGGGUUGCUUCUGCUGAUCUGGCUGGUUAAAUGGGUGUCCCCUCCUCUCUCACCUCACCAAGUGUGUCUCUCCCAAAGCUUUGCACUCAGUCCAAGAGGAUGAACUUCCCCAGCAGAGGGCAUCAAGGGUAUUGAGUAGCUGUGCUUCCCUGCUAGACCCUCCAAACAAGCUCCCCAACUAGCAAGGUGAUUAACUGAUAAUAAGUUGCUAUCAUUUUCACUCAUUUAAAUCAUUCGUUUAGUAAAUAAUAUUA
Molecule: small nuclear RNA, 301 nt
Filed under: Nannospalax galili (Upper Galilee mountains blind mole rat)
Lineage: Eukaryota; Metazoa; Chordata; Mammalia; Rodentia; Spalacidae
Description: 7SK RNA (ENSNGAG00000005777.1)
Rfam family: 7SK RNA
About the family: 7SK was discovered as an abundant small nuclear RNA in the mid-70s but a possible function has only recently been suggested. Two independent studies have found that 7SK RNA binds the CDK9/cyclin T complex (known as elongation factor P-TEFb).
Source: RNAcentral